This 408-nucleotide ribosomal RNA is filed under the name uncultured bacterium. Its description in RNAcentral is "bacterial SSU rRNA". It matches the Rfam family "Bacterial small subunit ribosomal RNA", at positions 976 to 1380 of the family's 1533-position model. The record is from RNAcentral.
UGGGCUCGAACGGCUUUGGACGGCUGGCGGAAACGCCGGCUUUCCCGCAAGGGACCGGAGUCGAGGUGCUGCAUGGCUGUCGUCAGCUCGUGUCGUGAGAUGUUGGGUUAAGUCCCGCAACGAGCGCAACCCUCGUCCUGUGUUGCAACCCCCGCAAGGGGGGCACUCGCAGGAGACCGCCAGCGAUAAGUUGGAGGAAGGUGGGGAUGACGUCAAGUCAUCAUGGCCUUUAUGUCCAGGGCUACACACGUGCUACAAUGGGCGGUACAAAGCGCAGCAAACCCGCGAGGGGGAGCAAAUCGCCAAAAACCGUCCUCAGUUCGGAUUGCAGGCUGCAACUCGCCUGCAUGAAGCUGGAAUCGCUAGUAAUGGCAUAUCAGAACGAUGCCGUGAAUACGUUCCCGGGCC